GUCAGUUGUGAGGCGUGGAGUGUGUCAAUUGAGAGGCUUGGAGGGUGUCAGUUGUGAGGCGUGGAGUGUGCCAGUUGUGAGGCGUGGAGUGUGCCAGUUGUGAGGCGUGGAGUGUGUCAGUUGAGAGGCUUGGAGGGUGUCAGUUGAGAGGCUUGGAGGGUGUCAGUUGUGAGGCGGGGAGUGUGUCAGUUGUGAGGUGUGGAAUGUGUCAGUUGUGAGGCGUGGAGUGUGUCAGUUGUGAGGUGUGGAGUGUGCCAGUUGUGAGGCGUGGAGUGUGUCAGUUGAGAGGCUUGGACUCUGUCAGUUGAGAGGCUUGGAGGGUGUCAGUUGUGAGGCGUGGAGUGUGUCAGUUGAGAGGCUUGGACGCUGUCAGUUGAGAGGCUUGGAGGGUGUCAGUUGUGAGGCGUGGAGUGUGUCAGUUGUGAGGCGUGGAGUGUGCCAGUUGUGAGGCGUGGAGUGUGUCAGUUGAGAGGCUUGGACGCUGUCAGUUGAGAGGCUUGGAGGGUGUCAGUUGAGAGGCGUGGAGUGUGUCAGUUGUGAGGCGUGGAGUGUGUCAGUUGAGAGGCUUGGACGCUGUCAGUUGAGAGGCUUGGAGGGUGUCAGUUGAGAGGCGUGGAGUGUGUCAGUUGUGAGGCGUGGAGUGUGCCAGUUGUGAGGCGGGGAGUGUGUCAGUUGUGAGGCGGGGAGUGUGCAAGUUGUGAGGCGUGGAGUGUGUAGGUUGUGAGGCGGGGAGUGUGCCAGUUGUGAGGCGGGGAGUGUGCCAGUUGAACUUUUUGAAACACAGUGUGUGAACUGCCAAAGAUACAGUGUUUGGAAUGCUGAAUAUAGAAUAGUCAACUCACCACUAUAAGUUAACACACAGAGGAACUAGUUAUGAAAUGACAAUAUUGGUUUACUAAUAAUAUCUUGGUCUUAUAUUUUAAGGAUUUUAAGAAUGCUGAAGCAUAUCACUCUUUGUCAUGUCUAAGGAUACGUUGGAAGUACAGUAUAUUAAGGCAUUUUUUAAGUUUAAUGAUUCAUUCCGUUAAAUAGUUAUGUUUGUAUGCCUGUGGGUUGUUUUUUAAACUGCUGUGAUUGAUUCAGCUGUGCUUGAGCUUGUAAAAGUCCUUUUAAUAAAAAGAGAAUGGUUUAUGAUGAAUUGUUUCUUUAGAAAUGUUUUUUUAGCAAUGUCUGUAAUUAAGUAAUGUACCAUGAUAAACAUUUUAUUUAAAUCUGCUUUUGUUUUUACAGCCACCUGAAUCUUCAAAAUAAUUCCUCCAACUAGCACAGAAUUCCUAUGAAAUAAGAUUGUAUUUGUCACAUACAAUACAACAGGUGUAGACUAUACCAUGAAAUGCUUAUUUACGAUCCCUUUCCCAACAAUACAGAGUUAAAAAGUACAAAAAUGUGCUAAAUAAAAAAAGGAAAUAGUAACACAAUAAAAUAUUAAUAACGAGACUAUAAACAAGGACUACCGGUACCGAGUGAAUAUGCAGGGAUACGAGGUAAUUAUGCACAUGUAGGUAAGGGUAAAAGUGACAAGGCAAUCAGGAUAGAUAAUAAACAGAGUAGCAGCAAUGUAUGCAAAGAGUGAAAGUGUGUGUAUGAGUGUGUGUGCGGUGUCAGUGUGUGUGUGUGUGUGCAUGCGUGCGUGCGUUGGUGUCAGUGUAGUUGUGUGAGUGUGUAGGAACACUUUCACCAACAGAAGGGUGAAUUUAUAAUGUGUGUAGGCGAUGUGUAAAAGCCACAUGAUACAUAUAGGACUUCCUGUACAAAAGGGGAUUUUAACAGCCUUAUAUGUGCAUUUUGAUUAAAU
This is a long non-coding RNA of Oncorhynchus tshawytscha (Chinook salmon), 1795 nucleotides long. The record is from Ensembl. NCBI's taxonomy places the organism in Eukaryota, Metazoa, Chordata, Actinopteri, Salmoniformes, Salmonidae.